This 1197-nucleotide long non-coding RNA is filed under the name Homo sapiens (human). Its description in RNAcentral is "long intergenic non-protein coding RNA 1484". The record is from RNAcentral. Lineage: Eukaryota; Metazoa; Chordata; Mammalia; Primates; Hominidae.
ACAUAAACAAUAGGGCAGAGGAAGCAAUCGGAUAGGCAUUUGCUUCAGGUGAGCAGAGGGAUGACUUUCUGUCCCACAUCUGUGAAGAUCAGCUGUUGGUUUACAUUGCCAGGGUGAAAUUCAACAGAACUAAUUUAGGGUGAAGAUCUUGAGGCCCACAAGGAAUUUCCUUGUGGGAAAAUUGUGAGGAAGAGCAAUCACUGCACCCAGCCACCUCUAUAUACAUGUACACAAAGCCACACAGUUUACACAGUCACAGGUAUUUAAGUACACACUAUUCACACACAAAUACAUAUAUAGACACACAUGUACAGUCCGUCCAAAAUAUAUGUACAUAAAAGCACACUAUUACACCUUCAUAUGUGCACACACACACACACCCAGACUCACUUCAUACACACAUAGAUACAACAGCCACAGCUCCCCAUCACCUACACACACACACACACACCUGGACACCCAGCUCUAAUAUAAUCAGAUAGAGAUAUGCAUGCAGACAAAUUUGCCUGUAUAGUCAAACACAUAGGCAAAUAGAGAACGAGACACCACAUGAACAAAGGCAAACCUACACACAAAGACACAGAGCACACUUACGCAUAUAUCUAUAGACCCACCAUGGCACAUAUGGGUAAGUGCACACAGGCAAACUCACACACACGAGCAUGCACAGGCAGAGAACACAAAUGUACACUCCCAGGUGUCAUAAAGAACAGCCCAGCUUCGGCUUGGGAACGUCACAUCAGACAAUAGGAACGGCUGCACCGCGCGUUUCCUCGGCUGCCAGCUUCCCAGCCACAGAGGAUGCCUCACCUGCUAUGUCAGCUCCCCUCUGCCCCACCUCACAAGAAGCUCAGAAGCUGAGGAGUCACAGAGAGACCUCCCUACUGUGUCAGAGCAUUUUAGGACCCAAAGGGACCUAAGAGAGUGCUCAGACAGCUGGCUGCGUUAGGAGCUACCUGUGGCUGCUGAAGAAGAGUUUGCGUCAAUUUAAAGAAAGAGCCAUUCAAGGAAUGAGGACCAUGACCUUGGCUGCACUGACCAGCUGGGCUCUGGAGACUCAGUGAGGCUGCCCAGCCACCAACAGGCCCUGCACAAUAGAUCCACGGACCCAGCAGUCAGAGGUGACCCUAGGGGUCACUGGCCCGUGGCUAAGGAGGAGGAGCACAGACCUGCGACCCCCUUUUCCCAUGGACCACC